UGGCUCUCGCAACGAUGAAGAACGCAGCGAAAUGCGAUACGUAAUGUGAAUUGCAGAAUCCAGUGAAUCAUCGAAUCUUUGAACGCACAUUGCGCCCUUGGGUAUUCCUGGGGGCAUGCCUGUUUGAGAACCUUGACGUAACUCACCACCUCGUGCACAUCUGGGUUCAAUCAACCCGGCCGCGCACUGAGGGCGGUGGAUUUGGGCUUUUAACUUUUCUGCCAAGGAGAAGUCGCCCUAAAUGAAGAGUCGUUUUGCUCUCGGCGAGCGCAAAGCCCGAUCUGAAGACUGAGAUUAAUAACCCCAAACUGGUUUUUUUCAUUUGACGUCGAUAAAGAUUUGCGGUGCAGCCUUGCAGAUGAAUUGAGGGCCGUCAACCUUUUAUUAGCCAGGUUCAUUGUUUUUUUCUUUGCGAAAACGACAUUGCUCCUGAACAUCUGGUCUCAAAUCAGACAAGAUUACCCGCUGA
Molecule: unclassified non-coding RNA, 469 nt
Filed under: uncultured fungus
Lineage: Eukaryota; Fungi
Description: partial contains 5.8S ribosomal RNA and internal transcribed spacer 2
Rfam family: 5.8S ribosomal RNA (bases 1-133)
Source: RNAcentral